GGGGAUAAAAACACGGCCCGGUCGGUAGUCCGGGCACGGCAAAUGCCGUCAGUAACCUGCCUCCUUGGUUGUCCGUUCCCC
Molecule: non-coding RNA, 81 nt
Filed under: uncultured Ruthenibacterium sp.
Lineage: Bacteria; Bacillati; Bacillota; Clostridia; Eubacteriales; Oscillospiraceae
Description: yjdF RNA
Rfam family: azaaromatic riboswitch aptamer (yjdF RNA)
Source: RNAcentral